UCGCUGCUUAGGCCCAUUAAGCCUGCUCAGAUUUGGCUGGCUAGGCCCAUUAAGCCUGCUCAGAUUUGGCUGGCUAGGCCCAUUAAGCCUGCUCAGAUUUGGCUGGCUAGGCACAUUAAGCCUGCUCAGAUUUGGCUGGCUAGGCACAUUAAGCCUGCUCAGAUUCGCUGCCUAGGCCCAUUAAGCCUGCUCAGAUUUGGCUGGCUAGGCCCAUUAACCCUGCUCAGAUAUGGCUGGCUAGGCACAUUAAGCCUGUUCAGAU
This is a non-coding RNA of Pelobates cultripes (western spadefoot toad), 262 nucleotides long. The record is from the annotation of a GenBank genome assembly. Lineage: Eukaryota; Metazoa; Chordata; Amphibia; Anura; Pelobatidae.